UUUGUCAAUAAUGGUGAUUCUACCUUAGACGAGAAAGGUUAAUUUGUUCUAAAAGAAAUUAUAAUGUCUAUUUUAAUUAUUUCUACUUGUUUAUAUAUAAACUUGUGUAUCUUUUACUUUAAUAAUUCAACAGGGAAAGCUAAACAUCUUUAUAUCCUUUCUAAACUUUGUUCAUGUUCUCUUGUUCUUCCAUAAUCUAUUACCAGAAAGUCAUCUGUCAACAUGCUCCAGGCUGUUUGCCAGUUUGUAAGUCAUGAUUGUCACCUGUUUUCUUUCUUGCAAUGAAACCAGCUCUAGUUUCCACAGCCUCUCAUUGUAAUGCAGUAGUUUUAAACUUGGCAUAGAGUUUGUUGCCACUCUUUUUAGGUUGUGCAUAUGUCUAAUGGCCUAAUCAUGCAAUAAACUCAUGAUUGCCAUCCAGUACCAUCACUGACUGAGCUUGGAGCUUAGAAGUUUUGGCUCUGGGUACAGCUGAAACCUCACACACACACACACACACACACACACAGGCGGUGGGACACAAUCUCCCAACUGACAUCCGGUGCCCAUUCGCUGCAGGGUGGACAGGGAGCACGGAUUAAAGGAGACUGCCCAUCUGUCUCCAGGAAUCUAACCCAAGACCUCUCAGUUGUAAGAGAGAUCGCUGGAACCCCGAGUCGUGCGUGAGACCAUGUUGGUGAAGCCGAUGCCAUACUCCAGCAGCCUGAAGUCAUCAAAGGCAGUGAAGGGCUUGGGGAUGAGGCCAGACAAGUACAUGCACUUCC
Molecule: long non-coding RNA, 764 nt
Organism: Eriocheir sinensis (Chinese mitten crab)
Lineage: Eukaryota; Metazoa; Arthropoda; Malacostraca; Decapoda; Varunidae
Exons: 2
Source: RefSeq, a predicted model, not a curated record